This 1476-nucleotide long non-coding RNA is filed under the name Felis catus (domestic cat). Its description in RNAcentral is "lncRNA (ENSFCAG00000048046.1)". Lineage: Eukaryota; Metazoa; Chordata; Mammalia; Carnivora; Felidae. The record is from RNAcentral.
AACCAGCCCUCUCCCCCAACCUCAGCCAACUCCAAAGCAGAUGAUGAAACUUCCCACUACGGCGCCUGAGUCGCUAGUGCUGGAGGGGUUAUCACAAAACUCACAGAAGCACCACAUUGAAAUGAGCAGAAUUGGGCCUAAGGGCUCUGGGUUAGUCUUCCUCCAAAAGAAGCUUAAACAAUCCCAUUGUCAGUCCUGUGGCCUGGCCCUAAGGUCAAGUUUCUAACCCCAUCACAGCAAGCGAGCGCGGACGAGGGCUGGGCACGGUGAACGGGACCAGACGGGAUACCCUGGCGUUCUAGGGUCUGCAGCUGUGUGGCAUUAAGUAGGUCCCCUGCACUGUCCAAGUCUCAGAGUCUCGUUCUGGAAAAUGCCCACAUGGGAGUACUUGAUCUCCAGUCCCAAUGUCCAUGAUUUCGUGACUACUCGGGAAGAGUUUACUCUCUUACCCCACCAUUUCUUCCCUUCGGAGAAGCACUGGUCUCCAGUGACUGGAAGGUGGCAUCCGCCUCUUGGAGGAUAAAUCAGCAGGGGGAGCCUCUCCGAAGGGACAAAACAUAGAGGGAAUUGUACUCCGGGUGUUCUGCUUUCUGACCUAAGAAGAGCUUUCGUUGUCGAACGCCUACUCAGGGUCAAGUACCAGGAGAAUGAUUUUCCCAUUUUACAAACAGAGAAACGGAGGCUUCAGGGACAAAGCGAGCCAAGGAGGCCACGCAUCUGAGAGGAGAUACAGCCCAGAUGUCACUCUUGAGCAACCAUCUUGGUUGGCCAUGCCCCACCCACUGUACUACCCAGCCCUAGAGAGGAGGAUCACACAGAAGCCAUCAAUUUUUAGGGGCUGCCCUUUCUGCCGCUGCUGUGGUGGCAGUAGCUACCUCCUGGAGAGCCCUGGCCUUCCUGAAAACCCGCCCCUAACUGCGCCUUCCUCUGAAGGGGAACAGUGGCCGGAAGGAUGACAGUUGUCAAGGUGAGAUAAGAGCUGGGUCCCCUCCUACUCCCUCCCUGCCGCUGGCCUGACCGAGAUGUGCAGAGAUGCAGCUUUGGACACAGUGGACCAGGAGGGAUUCCCAGAGGGCAAGAAAUGCUCUAGACGCAAGAGGUGCAGGUUCCAGCGUUCACCAGAAGUCACCAGAACCAUGCAGCCUGGACGUGUGGGAAAGUGGAAAGCGUGGAGGCCUGGAACCUGAGCCCACAUCCUGCCUGUACCACUCCUCGCUGGCGGUCAUCUAGCCCCUCUGAACCUCAGACUUUUUUUUUUUAAUAUGAAAUUUAUUGUCAAAUUGGUUUCCAUACAACACCCAGUGCUCGUCCCAACAGGUGCCCUCCUCAAUACCCAUCACCCACCCUCCCCUCCCUCCCACCCCCCCCCAACCCUCAGUUUGUUCUCAGUUUUUAAAGUGAAACUCAGUCUUAAAGCUACUUUGCAGGGCACCUGGGUGGCUCAGUCGGUGGAGCGUCCAACUUCGGCUCAGGUCA